This 33-nucleotide ribosomal RNA is filed under the name Cladocopium sp. C15. RNAcentral describes it as "partial 5.8S ribosomal RNA". Lineage: Eukaryota; Dinophyceae; Suessiales; Symbiodiniaceae. The record is from RNAcentral.
AGUGCGUUGCACCUUGGGAUUCCUGAGAGUAUG